This is a long non-coding RNA of Triticum aestivum (bread wheat), 517 nucleotides long. RefSeq lists it as uncharacterized. NCBI's taxonomy places the organism in Eukaryota, Viridiplantae, Streptophyta, Magnoliopsida, Poales, Poaceae. The record is from RefSeq and is a predicted model, not a curated record. The transcript is spliced from 2 exons.
CCAGAAGCCGAAAGGAAGAGGAACGGUCCAGUCAUCAUCAAGAUUGGCGGAGGAGAGGGAGAGAGCGAUAGGAAAGAUGAACGGCGGCGGCAGGAAGUUUGGGGGCGGGCGGCUGCCGACGGGAACGCCAUCGCUGGCCUGGUCAUCGGUGGUCGUGGUCGUCUCCCUCCUUGCGGGGGCCUCCGUCGUCCACAACGUCUACAAGCCCGACAUGACCAUUCCGCAGGUGGAGAUCACCGACGGAGGAGGCGGCGGCAAUGACGGCAAGCAGAGCUGAGCUGGUUUCGCGGAACCAUGUGUGUCUCCAACCGUUUCUGUCAGCGUAUCUCGUUAUGGAGCACAGCACUCCACUCUAGAGGAGCACAGCACUCUGCUAGCUGCUCGUUACCCACUGGAAUCAAACUAACAUUGGUACUAUGAUUUACACAUCUUAUUCAAAGGGAUUUACUCUUUGUUGGACAUAUUAUGUAUAUGUUCAUGUUUUCCGUAAACCAUUGAGAGUUUAAUAAGGAUUUAA